RNAcentral lists this ribosomal RNA (497 nucleotides) under uncultured bacterium. Its description in RNAcentral is "partial 16S ribosomal RNA". It matches the Rfam family "Bacterial small subunit ribosomal RNA", at positions 28 to 507 of the family's 1533-position model. The record is from RNAcentral.
GAUGAACGCUGGCGGCGUGCCUAAUACAUGCAGGUCGAGCGAACAGACGAGGAGCUUGCUACUCUGACGUUAGCGGCGGACGGGUGAGUAACACGUGGAUAACCUACCUAUAAGACUGGGAUAACUUCGGGAAACCGGAGCUAAUACCGGAUAAUAUAUUGAACCGCAUGGUUCAAUAGUGAAAGACGGUUUUGCUGUCACUUAUAGAUGGAUCCGCGCCGCAUUAGCUAGUUGGUAAGGUAACGGCUUACCAAGGCAACGAUGCGUAGCCGACCUGAGAGGGUGAUCGGCCACACUGGAACUGAGACACGGUCCAGACUCCUACGGGAGGCAGCAGUAGGGAAUCUUCCGCAAUGGGCGAAAGCCUGACGGAGCAACGCCGCGUGAGUGAUGAAGGUCUUCGGAUCGUAAAACUCUGUUAUUAGGGAAGAACAAAUGUGUAAGUAACUAUGCACGUCUUGACGGUACCUAAUCAGAAAGCCACGGCUAACUACGUG